This 1301-nucleotide long non-coding RNA is filed under the name Equus caballus (horse). RNAcentral's name for it is "lncRNA (ENSECAG00000045925.1)". The record is from RNAcentral. Lineage: Eukaryota; Metazoa; Chordata; Mammalia; Perissodactyla; Equidae.
UUUCAGAAAUGUGUAUUGCCAUAAAACCUGCCCCAUUCAGUUCCUCUUACAUCAGAAUGGCUACCCAUGGUGCUUGGACAAAGUCACAUUCAAUGACCUCUGAUUACUGCAACAAUCUCCAUGUGACUAAGGACAAAUGGAAAAGAUGAGGCUGUUCUGUAACAAACCAGGGCUGACUUUAACCAAAGACCUGGGAUUGAGUCUGCUCUCACGAUAUUGGAUGUUGGUUUGCAUGGUUGUGAGGAAAGGAAUCUGAAAGAGAAACCCUAUAAAUGGCCAGCAUCAAAGACCACAGCCCCUCUCCACGGUCAAUCCGUGCAUUCAUAGAAUGGUGAUGUCUUGAGAGCCCAAUGGAAAUGGCCCAAAAUGCUGAGAGAGGUUUGGUUGUUAUCGCCGUUGCUCUGUGAGGAUUUAUCUAAAAUCUCUCACAUACCUUACUUGUGAGUUAUUUCUCAUUCUCACAAAAACUCUACAACUCCAGUAUUAUUUCUCAUUUUACAAUUGAGAAAACUGAGACUCAGAAGCUUUGCCCAGCAUCAGGAGCUUAUGGGAGGCCGCACAGAAUCCACGUUUUCCCACCUUCUGUACUUUAUGUAGUAACCUCUUAUUUUGACAGAAUUGUUCUGUUUGCUUAGCUUUUGACACCUGUAUUCCUCACACCUGUCUUAUGUGCCUGGAGAGAAAAAAGUUUAAGGAUUGCAGCUCAAACUACAGUGACUAGGGAGUAGAAAGAAGUCAUGUUUUUCUCCAAGCCAGACAAGAAAUCCUGCAAGAGCAUGAACAUCUCAGCUGUUCUCGGCCUGCAGUUGUCUUCUUUGAAGCCCUCGGUUGGGCAGGCCCUGCUCCAGCAGAGAUUACAUGAAAGGGCAGAGAUGCAGCACUGAGGAAUCCCCUGUCAUCAUUAGGCCAUUUACAGCUGUUGCGUUUAAUAAGCUGCGUGUGAGUUUGGCCUGAGAAAGGAGACAGGAUCAACGUCUUCCCUCUCUCCCCACUAUGAUGGGCUAAGCUGUGUCUGCCGACGUUCACGUGUUGAAGUCCUAACUCUCAGUGUGACUGCAUUUGGACAUGUCGCCUUUAGGGAGAUAAUGAAGGUUAAAUGAGGUCAUCAGGGUGGCUCCUGAUGUGAUAGGACUGGUGUCCUUACGAGAAGAGGAAGAGACUCCAGAGGCCACUCUCUCUCUCUCUGCACACACGGAGGCAAGAUCAGGUGAGGAGAUCUACACGCCAUCUACACGCCAAGGAGAGAGGUCUGAGGAGGAACCACCCUUGAUCUUGGACUUCCAGCCUCUAGAACUGUGAGG